RNAcentral lists this ribosomal RNA (503 nucleotides) under uncultured bacterium. Its description in RNAcentral is "partial 16S ribosomal RNA". It matches the Rfam family "Bacterial small subunit ribosomal RNA", at positions 30 to 523 of the family's 1533-position model. The record is from RNAcentral.
AUUGAACGCUGGCGGCAGGCUUAACACAUGCAAGUCGAGCGGGGUGAUGGUGCUUGCACUAUCACUUAGCGGCGGACGGGUGAGUAAUGCUUAGGAAUCUGCCUAUUAGUGGGGGACAACAUCUCGAAAGGGAUGCUAAUACCGCAUACGUCCUACGGGAGAAAGCAGGGGAUCACCUGUGACCUUGCGCUAAUAGAUGAGCCUAAGUCGGAUUAGCUAGUUGGUGGGGUAAAGGCCUACCAAGGCGACGAUCUGUAGCGGGUCUGAGAGGAUGAUCCGCCACACUGGGACUGAGACACGGCCCAGAAUCCUACGGGAGGCAGCAGUGGGGAAUAUUGGACAAUGGGGGGAACCCUGAUCCAGCCAUGCCGCGUGUGUGAAGAAGGCCUUAUGGUUGUAAAGCACUUUAAGCGAGGAGGAGGCUCUUUUGGUUAAUACCCAAGAUGAGUGGACGUUACUCGCAGAAUAAGCACCGGCUAACUCUGUGCCAGCAGCCGCCGCAG